GGCUGCUUGGCCCAAUGGUAAGGCGUCUGACUACGACCGAGUGUGCACAACACACUUGACACAGUUAUCAGGAGAUUCUGGGUUCGAGCCCCAGGGUGGUCA
RNAcentral lists this transfer RNA (102 nucleotides) under Hypomontagnella monticulosa. Its description in RNAcentral is "tRNA-Arg". It matches the Rfam family "tRNA". From Rfam's summary of the family: Transfer RNA (tRNA) molecules are approximately 80 nucleotides in length. Their secondary structure includes four short double-helical elements and three loops (D, anti-codon, and T loops). Further hydrogen bonds mediate the characteristic L-shaped molecular structure. tRNAs have two regions of fundamental functional importance: the anti-codon, which is responsible for specific mRNA codon recognition, and the 3' end, to which the tRNAs corresponding amino acid is attached (by aminoacyl-tRNA synthetases). tRNAs cope with the degeneracy of the genetic code in two manners: having more than one tRNA (with a specific anti-codon) for a particular amino acid; and 'wobble' base-pairing, i.e. permitting non-standard base-pairing at the 3rd anti-codon position. The record is from RNAcentral. Lineage: Eukaryota; Fungi; Ascomycota; Sordariomycetes; Xylariales; Hypoxylaceae.